CAAAGAAAUUGACGGGGGCCUGCACAAGCGGUGGAGUAUGUGGCUUAAUUCGAUGCAACGCGAAGAACCUUACCUAGGCUUGACAUGUGACUGCACGACCGGUGAAAGCCGGUCUCCUUCGAGGGUGUCACACAGGUGCUGCAUGGCUGUCGUCAGUUCGUGCCGUGAGGUGUUUGGUUAAGUCCACCAACGAACGCAACCCCUGCGUCCAGUUGCCAUCGGGUAAUGCCGGGAACUCUGGACGGACCGCCCCUUCAAACGGGAGGAAGGUGGGGAUGACGUCAAGUCAGUAUGGCCCUUACGCCUAGGGCUGCACACGUGCUACAAUGGCCGGUACAGAGGGACGCGAGACCGCGAGGUGGAGCAAACCCCCAAAACCGGCCCCAGUUCAGAUUGGAGUCUGCAACCCGACUCCAUGAAGUUGGAUUCGCUAGUAACGGCGCAUCAGCAUUCGGCGCCGUGAAUACGUUCCCGGGCCUUGUACACACCGCCCGUCACAUCAUGAAAGCCGUCUGCACCCGAAGCCGGUGCGCCAACUCGCAAGAGAGGCAGCCGUCUAAGGUGUGGGUGGUGAUUGGGAUGAAGUCGUAACAAGGUAGCCGUAGGGGAACCUGCGGCUGGAUCACCUCCUUA
This 633-nucleotide ribosomal RNA is filed under the name uncultured bacterium. Its description in RNAcentral is "bacterial SSU rRNA". It matches the Rfam family "Bacterial small subunit ribosomal RNA", at positions 902 to 1533 of the family's 1533-position model. The record is from RNAcentral.